RNAcentral lists this ribosomal RNA (883 nucleotides) under uncultured bacterium. Its description in RNAcentral is "bacterial SSU rRNA". It matches the Rfam family "Bacterial small subunit ribosomal RNA", at positions 9 to 873 of the family's 1533-position model. The record is from RNAcentral.
GAGUUUGAUCCUGGCUCAGGAUGAACGCUGGCGGCGUGCUUAACACAUGCAAGUCGAACGGGGAUGCCAUUUUCGAGGUGAUUAGUUUACUAAGAGCCAAGAUGUUGGCAUCUUAGUAGCGGACGGGUGAGUAACGCGUGGGUAACCUGCCUUAUACAGGGGGAUAACACUUAGAAAUAGGUGCUAAUACCGCAUAAGCGCACGGGGCUGCAUGGCCCAGUGUGAAAAACUCCGGUGGUAUAAGAUGGACCCGCGUCUGAUUAGCUUGUUGGCGGGGUAACGGCCCACCAAGGCGACGAUCAGUAGCCGGCCUGAGAGGGUGGACGGCCACAUUGGGACUGAGACACGGCCCAAACUCCUACGGGAGGCAGCAGUGGGGAAUAUUGGACAAUGGGGGGAACCCUGAUCCAGCGACGCCGCGUGAGUGAAGAAGUAUUUCGGUAUGUAAAGCUCUAUCAGCAGGGAAGAAAGAAAUGACGGUACCUGACUAAGAAGCCCCGGCUAACUACGUGCCAGCAGCCGCGGUAAUACGUAGGGGGCAAGCGUUAUCCGGAUUUACUGGGUGUAAAGGGAGCGUAGACGGUUACGCAAGUCUGGAGUGAAAGGCGGGGGCCCAACCCCCGGACUGCUUUGGAAACUGUAUAACUGGAGUGCAGGAGAGGUAAGUGGAAUUCCUAGUGUAGCGGUGAAAUGCGUAGAUAUUAGGAGGAACACCAGUGGCGAAGGCGGCUUACUGGACUGUAACUGACGUUGAGGCUCGAAAGCGUGGGGAGCAAACAGGAUUAGAUACCCUGGUAGUCCACGCCGUAAACGAUGAUCACUAGGUGUCGGUGGGUAUGGGCCCACGGGUGCCGCAGCAAACGCAUUAAGUGAUCCACCUGGG